Molecule: long non-coding RNA, 266 nt
Filed under: Elaeis guineensis (African oil palm)
Lineage: Eukaryota; Viridiplantae; Streptophyta; Magnoliopsida; Arecales; Arecaceae
Description: long non-coding RNA (EGUI_LNC022361)
Source: RNAcentral
UUUUUCAGUGCUUCAUGCAUUUGAAUCUCUUUCUUCAUGUUUAUUAAUUGCAGACAUAAAUAUAUUAAAUUUGAGUUAUUUUUUUCUUCAUUUUUUUAGUUUAGGUGGCUGUUAUGUUAAAUGUGUAACCAUACAAUGUUAUGUUUAUAACAAAAGAGUGUCAUUAUGUUUUGUAUUUAGUUAUCCAUUUUGCUUCUUAUAGAAUACUGAGAUAAGGGUCUCUUUAGAGGCCUUGGCCUGUCAAGGAUUAUAUUUAUCAUCCAUCC